Molecule: ribosomal RNA, 126 nt
Filed under: Gallionella sp.
Lineage: Bacteria; Pseudomonadati; Pseudomonadota; Betaproteobacteria; Nitrosomonadales; Gallionellaceae
Description: partial 16S ribosomal RNA
Rfam family: Bacterial small subunit ribosomal RNA
Source: RNAcentral
AUUGAACUUAAGAGUUUGAUCCUGGCUCAGAUUGAACGCUGGCGGUAUGCUUUACACAUGCAAGUCGAACGGAUUAAAGAGCUUGCUCUUUAGUUAGUGGCGAACGGGUGAGUAAUAUAUCGGAAC